This 331-nucleotide unclassified non-coding RNA is filed under the name soil metagenome. Its description in RNAcentral is "partial contains 5.8S ribosomal RNA, internal transcribed spacer 2, and large subunit ribosomal RNA". The stretch from base 1 to 120 matches the Rfam family "5.8S ribosomal RNA", at positions 35 to 154 of the family's 154-position model. The record is from RNAcentral.
GAUGAAGAACGCAGCGAAAUGCGAUAAGUAGUGUGAAUUGCAGAAUUCAGUGAAUCAUCGAAUCUUUGAACGCACAUUGCGCCCCCUGGUAUUCCGGGGGGCAUGCCUGUUCGAGCGUCAUUUCACCACUCAAGCCUCGCUUGGUAUUGGGCAUCGCGGUCCGCCGCGUGCCUCAAAUCGACCGGCUGGGUCUUCUGUCCCCUAAGCGUUGUGGAAACUAUUCGCUAAAGGGUGUUCGGGAGGCUACGCCGUAAAACAACCCCAUUUCUAAGGUUGACCUCGGAUCAGGUAGGGAUACCCGCUGAACUUAAGCAUAUCAAUAAGCGGAGGA